This 352-nucleotide unclassified non-coding RNA is filed under the name soil metagenome. RNAcentral describes it as "partial contains 5.8S ribosomal RNA, internal transcribed spacer 2, and large subunit ribosomal RNA". The stretch from base 1 to 120 matches the Rfam family "5.8S ribosomal RNA", at positions 35 to 154 of the family's 154-position model. The record is from RNAcentral.
GAUGAAGAACGUAGCGAAAUGCGAUAAGUAAUGUGAAUUGCAGAAUUCAGUGAAUCAUCGAAUCUUUGAACGCACAUUGCGCCCGCCAGUAUUCUGGCGGGCAUGCCUGUUCGAGCGUCAUUACAACCCUCAGGCCCCCGGGCCUGGCGUUGGGGAUCGGCGGAGCCCCCCGUGGGCACACGCCGUCCCCCAAAUACAGUGGCGGUCCCGCCGCAGCUUCCAUCGCGUAGUAGCUAACACCUCGCGACUGGAGAGCAGCGCGGCCACGCCGUAAAACACCCAACUCUUCUGAAGUUGACCUCGAAUCAGGUAGGAAUACCCGCUGAACUUAAGCAUAUCAAUAAGCGGAGGA